This 253-nucleotide ribosomal RNA is filed under the name uncultured bacterium. Its description in RNAcentral is "partial 16S ribosomal RNA". It matches the Rfam family "Bacterial small subunit ribosomal RNA", at positions 524 to 776 of the family's 1533-position model. The record is from RNAcentral.
UACGUAGGGUGCAAGCGUUAAUCGGAAUUACUGGGCGUAAAGCGUGCGCAGGCGGUUGGGCAAGACAGAUGUGAAAUCCCCGGGCUCAACCUGGGAACUGCAUUUGUGACUGCACAGCUUGAGUGCGGCAGAGGGGGAUGGAAUUCCGCGUGUAGCAGUGAAAUGCGUAGAUAUGCGGAGGAACACCGAUGGCGAAGGCAAUCCCCUGGGCCUGCACUGACGCUCAUGCACGAAAGCGCGGGGAGCAAACAGG